CCUACGGUGGGCAGCAGUGAGGAAUAUUGGUCAAUGGUCGCGAGCCUGAACCAGCCAAGUAGCGUGAAGGAUGACUGCCCUACGGGUUGUAAACUUCUUUUAUAAAGGAAUAAAGUCAGGCACGCGUGCCUUUUUGUAUGUACUUUAUGAAUAAGCAUCGGCUAACUCCGUGCCAGCAGCCGCGGUAAUACGGAGGAUCCGAGCGUUAUCCGGAUUUAUUGGGUUUAAAGGGAGCGUAGAUGGGUUGUUAAGUCAGUUGUGAAAGUUUGCGGCUCAACCGUAAGAUUGCAAUUGAUACUGGCAGUCUUGAGUACAGGUGAGGUAGGCGGAAUGCGUGGUGUAGCGGUGAAAUGCUUAGAUAUCACGAAGAACUCCGAUUGCGAAGGCAGCUUACUAACCUGCCACUGACAUUGAUGCUCGAAAGUGUGGGUAUCAAACAGGAUUAGAUACCCUUGUAGUC
RNAcentral lists this ribosomal RNA (460 nucleotides) under uncultured bacterium. RNAcentral describes it as "partial 16S ribosomal RNA". It matches the Rfam family "Bacterial small subunit ribosomal RNA", at positions 338 to 795 of the family's 1533-position model. The record is from RNAcentral.